RNAcentral lists this long non-coding RNA (4801 nucleotides) under Lactuca sativa (garden lettuce). Its description in RNAcentral is "long non-coding RNA (LSAT_LNC001617)". The record is from RNAcentral. Lineage: Eukaryota; Viridiplantae; Streptophyta; Magnoliopsida; Asterales; Asteraceae.
GUACUUCUCGGGAUCUUCGGGAUCUCGGGACUUGCCUCGGGGCUUGAGUAUGAUACCGGGGCUUCGGGAUAUUUCUGGCACGCAAAACGAUGCAAAACGGGAGAGAGAAGAGAGGAAAUUGGCAAAAGACUCGGCUGCCUUCGGUUCCUAUUUAUAGGAGGCUGGAGCCUCGGAGUACGCGGGGCGUACUGCAGUACGCAGCGCGUACUGCUUCCGAAAUCGUCACUGCAUGCGUCAUCCGAAAUGUCGACACUCUUCGGAGUACGCGGGGCGUACGUCGGAUCGGACCGGUGACUCGUCUUCGGAUAAUGCCGGAUUAAAAGAUUAAUUUUAAUUACAAAAUAUUUAAUAAACUUCAGAAAUUCAUAACUUUCGCAUACGAACUCCGUUUUCGACGUUCUUUAUAUCCACGCGAAGGUGAGACCACGCUCUACAACUUUCGUUUAGACUCCGUCGGCUAAUUUCGACUUUAUUUUUAUUAUUUAUUUUUAAUAGGCCGCGACAGAAAAACUUCGUUAUAAAUUCAUAACUUCUUCGUUUGACGUCCGUUCUCGCCUAACUUUUUAUCGCUUCGAUACCAACAACGAGACCUUCGAUCCUCGUUUAGAUUGCUAAGGCUAAAUACCGCUCUAACGUAAAUUCACUUUUUACGUUGCGCUGUGUCGUGCCGGUUCUGUCGCGAAACUUCGACAGGUCAUAACUUCUUCGUUAUAACUCGGAUUUUGGCGUUCUUUAUAUGCACGGAAACCUUGUAACAUAUACUACAACUUAGUUAGGAUUAUUCAUCCUAAAUAAUCUUCUAUCAAAAAGUCAUUUUUGACUCUUAUUGUCUCUAAAUUGACUAGCCCUGAUCUACGGGCGUUACAAUUAUCUCCCCCUUAGGAUGAUUACGUCCCGGAAUCAUCAACGAAAUAGGAUUCGCAUACUGACUCCAUAAGUUAUCUCUCCAUUCUAAGUAAUAACCCUGAUGGGUCGUGUCCCGAUGACCUCUCAUCAUAGUCGGACUCAAUUGAUAUGACCCCUAGGGUCGGAAUAACAACUAUCUUACUAGACAUUACCGAAACAAUGGUAAUGACAUACUUGAAUAAAACGGAAUCAAUUACUAGCUUCUUGAUAACCUUGUGACUUCCCCUGAUCCAAGCGUGAGUCCUGUGCUUCCGGUAGUAUAGAUCUCUACUACCAUUCACACCUACUCAUACUCGUCCCAAGUAUUGUCUCGCAGUUAACCAAGUCACCAUACAUAAAUCAUAUAAUCAUUCAACACAUCAGAUAACAAAACUAGGAUUUAUAUUAAUUCUUGAAACUAUUACACAAAAGUUCAAGUUCACCCUAUACUAUGCCUCUAACAGGCUAUGCUUCCUGAUACAGACUUUACCGACUUUAUAUAUUAAUAUGAAGUCUUCAUCCUUUAACCCUCCCAUCCCUUUCUGCUUCGUUGAGGAACAUGUUGAAUGCCCUUGGCUGUGGAGGUGUGUUUUUCUGUGGGCAGUCUUUAGAAAUAUGACCUUCUUCAUUACACCUAUAGCACAUCUUCUUGUUAGGUGCGCACUUGUUGGCAUAGUGCCCUGUCUUCCCACAUUUGUAGCAAGUCAUCUCCUCGCUACAUUUCCCGAAGUGUUUCUUCUUACACUUCUCACACCACUUAGCCUCAUCUCUUCCUCCAGUUUUCGAGAAUUUACUUUCUUUAUCGAUUAUUGAAGAUCCUUCACGCUUCCUUUUCUCUCCAACUUCAGCCCUUUCCAGACCCUUUUCUUUUAUUUGGGUCUCAACAUUUUUGGCUGCCCAGAUGGCGGCUUUCAGAGUGGUUGCUUGUUUGACUAUCGGACCAAAGUCCGCUGGUAAUCCAUUAGCAAACUUGUUGACCUUGGAAAGUUCAGUCGGAAUUAGGUAUGGAAUAAGCUUCAUCUUCUCCGUAAAGCUCGUAGCGUAUUCAGUAACGCUCAAUUUUCCUUUCUUCAGAUUCUGGAACUCAUUGUUGAUUUCCAGAAGAUCCUGCUCAGAGCAGUAUUGCAUUUUCAUUUGCUCCACGAACUCUUCCCAAGACAUCUUGCUAGCUUCCCCCUUGGGCAUUGAACCAGCCAGUAACUUCCACCAGCUCAAUACUCCAGAUUUUAACAGAGGGAUUGCAAGAGCGGUCUUCUGUCUGUUGCUACACUCGCAACUUUCAAACAUUGUCUCCAUUUCGGAGAUCCAGUCCAUGACUUGCACCGGUGUCGGGCUCCCAGAAAGACAUGGUGGUUUGGAUGCCAUGAAAUCCUUGUACUUGCAUCCACGUCCAUCAUUUCCUCUAUCCUGGUUGUUUUGGCGAACUAUUGGUGGGUUGGCUUGACCAACGGUCCCACUAUAGUUUCCUCCUUCAGAAUGCCCUCCAUUUACUUCGGGCUCUUCUACUCGAAUUGACAAUUCCUCGCGAUUUUGUCUGAUCAGACGUCUAGUUUCUUCCAUCUGAUUAUUCAACAUUGCCUGGAUCAUCACUUGAACUCCGGCCAUUGUCAUUGGUUCAGGCGCUGCUGCCACAACAGGUAUUUGUUCAAUUACUGGUACUUGAUUCCUGUUCUCAUCAGCAUUUCCAACUCCACUCCUCGUUCUCACCAUUUUUGAUCUAUACACCGAAUAUGGUGAAAUUAGAUCCUUAAUCACGAUAGAUAUUCAAAUCAUCCUUAUCACUCCGAAACGUUUAUAUGCUAGUUCUAAUAUCGUAGACGUACGCUUAGAAUCCUAUACACAUAAGGUUUCCAGAUCCGGUCGGCAACAGACCAUAGAUCCGAACAAAUAAUAGCAUCAAUAUAGCUAUCACACAAAACAUUUAGCACGCAAAAGCAUUUUAGGCAAUUUUCCUAAAAUAAAAUAGUGCCUGUGUCAAUUUAGGUGUACUACCUAAAAUAUAAUGGACACACUCAACUCGCAAUCAUUGCUUAGCAUUCUAAGUUUAAGUCUAGAAAUCCUACAAAUUCCUAGUUCGCUUAAACUAAUGCUCUGAUACCAACUGUGACAUCCCCAAUUUCACGGCCAGAAAAGACCGAUUUGUUUAUGCUUUGUUUUCAAAAUCAGAGUGAUCGUUUAAAGAAAACGGUUGCGGAAUUUGUUCCCAAAAUAAAAUAUGAUAACCAUUUUAUCAAAACAUUUCUCGAAAAGAAUGUAUUUUUAUUAAAUAAUAAAACCUCGGGAUGUCAUGUUCGUUACAGACCAAAAGCAUAAACAACAUAAAAUAGACCUUACAAUAGUUAUUCAACUACUGAUCUAUAAUCCAAAAUCUCUCGUCAAGUCCGCCGACUUAUACUCUUGUGUCAUUACCUGUAAUGAAAAGAAAACUGAGUGGGUCAGGCUUGGGAGCCUGGUGAGCAUAUAGGGUUUUCAACCCACAAUAAUACAUUUAUUAUAUUCAAUUAUCAAACAAUCAACUCAAAUACCCAUCUCCAUCAUCUUCUUAAGGUUUCCCCCUAAGAACCAACUAUCCUUCAUUCACUUAUUCCUAAGGAAUCGGCACGAAAUCCAUUGCUGCCAAAGUUUAUCUAUCGAGUACUAAAUCCAUAGUUAUAAGACGCUAACUCCAUAGUCGUCGGGGUUUACUCAAGCGGCGCUAACUCCAUAGUCACCAAGGUUCACUUAACAAGCGCUAACUCCAUAGUCGCCAAGGUUUACUUAACAAGCGCUAACUCCAUAGUCGCCAAGGUUCAUCAAAUAGGCACGAAGUCACAUCGUCGCCAAGGUUUAUGCAAUAGGCGCUAACUCCAUAGUCACCAAGGUUUAUACAAAAGGCGCUAACUCCAUAGUCACCAAGGUUUAUCUAACAACAGGCGCUAACUCCAUAGUCACCAAGGUUUAUCUAACAGCAGGCGCUAACUCCAUAGUCACCAAGGUUUAUCUAACAGCAGGCGCUAACUCCAUAGUCACCAACUAACCCAUCUACCCAUGUUCUACCCAACAAUAUUAGUAGAUAAAAAUAUACAUUUGUAUACAUAGUUUAAAGAAAACCUGUAUAGCAUGCUUUAAUCAACACAUAUAUCACAUAACAGAUGAGGCACACACACGUAACACAUAUCUCAUAAAGAAAUAAGCAGAUCUGUAAGAUAGAAGAGAGUGAAUACUCAUUCACACAUAACACAACCAAAUAUAUACACAUAGCACGUAUUUUUAUAUAAAAUACUUCGUAUUAUUGUAUUAGAAGAAAUAACUACACACUCACUUGAUCAGAAGACGAUCCGACAGCACUACGGCUUAUAGAAGUAGUAUUCCUCAGCAGAUCUGGAAGAUCUCCUCGAAAAUCGAACUUCUCGCGGGCAGAGCUUCGACUCGGGAACCGCACUUUUCGGGAUCUUCGGGAUCUCGGGACUUGCCUCGGGGCUAGGGUAUAAUACCGGGGCUUCGGGGUAUUUCUGGCACGCAAAACGAUGCAAAACGGGAGAGAGAAGAGAAGAAAUUGGCAAUUGGGUCGGCUGCCCUCGCAUCCUAUUUAUAGGAGGCUGGAGCCUCGGAGUACGCGGGGCGUACGCCAGUACGCGGGGCGUACUGGUCCGAAAAACGUCACUGCGUGCGUCAUCCGAAGCCACUUGCUGCGAAUGUCGACACUUCGGAGUACGCGGGGCGUACUCGAGUACGCAGCGCGUACCUCGGAUCAGACCGGUGACUCCUUCGGAUAAUGCUUCCGAAUUUCCUUUUAAAUUUAAAUACAAAUUGAUUAAUAAACUUCGGAAAUUCAUAUCUUCUUCAUACGAACUCCGUUUUCGACGUUCUUUAUAUCCACGCGAAGGUGAGACUACGCUCUACAACUUUCGUUUAGACUCCGUCGGCUAAUUUCGAC